GAGCGGCGGACGGGUGAGUAAUGCCUAGGAAUCUGCCUGGUAGUGGGGGAUAACGUUCGGAAACGGACGCUAAUACCGCAUACGUCCUACGGGAGAAAGCAGGGGACCUUCGGGCCUUGCGCUAUCAGAUGAGCCUAGGUCGGAUUAGCUAGUUGGUGAGGUAAUGGCUCACCAAGGCGACGAUCCGUAACUGGUCUGAGAGGAUGAUCAGUCACACUGGAACUGAGACACGGUCCAGACUCCUACGGGAGGCAGCAGUGGGGAAUAUUGGACAAUGGGCGAAAGCCUGAUCCAGCCAUGCCGCGUGUGUGAAGAAGGUCUUCGGAUUGUAAAGCACUUUAAGUUGGGAGGAAGGGCAUUAACCUAAUACGUUAGUGUUUUGACGUUACCGACAGAAUAAGCACCGGCUAACUCUGUGCCAGC
RNAcentral lists this ribosomal RNA (423 nucleotides) under Pseudomonas sp. R9.55. RNAcentral's name for it is "bacterial SSU rRNA". It matches the Rfam family "Bacterial small subunit ribosomal RNA", at positions 93 to 512 of the family's 1533-position model. Lineage: Bacteria; Pseudomonadati; Pseudomonadota; Gammaproteobacteria; Pseudomonadales; Pseudomonadaceae. The record is from RNAcentral.